UAGUAACUGCGAGUGAAGUGGGAAAAGCUCAAAUUUGAAAUCUGGCAGUCUCCCUUUUCUUCUUUGGCUGUCCGAGUUGUAAUCUAGAGAAGUGUUUACCCGUGCUGGACUGUGUACAAGUCUCCUGGAAUGGAGCGUCGUAGAGGGUGAGAAUCCCGUCUUUGACAUGGAUCUACCAGUGCGUUGUGGUGCGCUCUCAAAGAGUCGAGUUGUUUGGGAAUGCAGCUCUAAAUGGGUGGUAAACUCCAUCUAAAGCUAAAUAUUGGCGAGAGACCGAUAGUGAACAAGUACCGUGAGGGAAAGAUGAAAAGGACUUUGGAAAGAGAGUUAAACAGUAUGUGAAAUUGUUGAAAGGGAAACACUUGAAGUCAGUUGUGUCUGCUAGGGAUCAACCCAGCUGCUUUUUGGUGGGUGAAUUUCCUAGUGUGACAGGCCAACAUCAGUUUUGACUGUUGGAAAAGAGCAAGGGGAAUGUGGCACCUUUGGGUGUGUUAUAGCCUUUUGUCAUAUGCAGCAGUUGGGACUGAGGAAGAUUGCAGCGCGCCGCAAGGCCGGGUCAUUGACCACGUUCGCGCUCAGGAUGUUGGCAUUUUAAUGGCUUUAAUUGACCCGUCUUGAAACACGGACCAAGGAGUCUAACAUG
This 643-nucleotide ribosomal RNA is filed under the name Amanita sp. RNAcentral describes it as "partial large subunit ribosomal RNA". It matches the Rfam family "Eukaryotic large subunit ribosomal RNA", at positions 81 to 682 of the family's 3401-position model. The record is from RNAcentral. Lineage: Eukaryota; Fungi; Basidiomycota; Agaricomycetes; Agaricales; Amanitaceae.